CAGGAUGAACGCUAGCGGCAGGCUUAACACAUGCAAGUCGAGGGGUAGAAGAAGCUUGCUUCUUUGAGACCGGCGCACGGGUGCGUAACGCGUAUGCAAUCUACCUUUCACAGAGGGAUAGCCCAGAGAAAUUUGGAUUAAUACCUCAUAGUAAUACGACUUGGCAUCAAGAUGUAUUUAAAGAUUUAUCGGUGAAAGAUGAGCAUGCGUCCCAUUAGCUAGUUGGUAUGGUAACGGCAUACCAAGGCUACGAUGGGUAGGGGUCCUGAGAGGGAGAUCCCCCACACUGGUACUGAGACACGGACCAGACUCCUACGGGAGGCAGCAGUGAGGAAUAUUGGACAAUGGGCGCAAGCCUGAUCCAGCCAUGCCGCGUGCAGGAUGACGGUCCUAUGGAUUGUAAACUGCUUUUAUACAGGAAGAAACACCUCUACGUGUAGAGACUUGACGGUACUGUAAGAAUAAGGAUCGGCUAACUCCGUGCCAGCAGCCGCGGUAAUACGGAGGAUCCAAGCGUUAUCCGGAAUCAUUGGGUUUAAAGGGUCCGUAGGCGGUCAGGUAAGUCAGUGGUGAAAGCCCAUCGCUCAACGGUGGAACGGCCAUUGAUACUGUCUGACUUGAAUUAUUAGGAAGUAACUAGAAUAUGUAGUGUAGCGGUGAAAUGCUUAGAGAUUACAUGGAAUACCAAUUGCGAAGGCAGGUUACUACUAAUAUAUUGACGCUGAUGGACGAAAGCGUGGGUAGCGAACAGGAUUAGAUACCCUGGUAGUCCACGCCGUAAACGAUGGAUACUAGCUGUUGGGAGCAAUCUCAGUGGCUAAGCGAAAGUGAUAA
This 834-nucleotide ribosomal RNA is filed under the name uncultured Flavobacterium sp. RNAcentral's name for it is "bacterial SSU rRNA". It matches the Rfam family "Bacterial small subunit ribosomal RNA", at positions 25 to 863 of the family's 1533-position model. Lineage: Bacteria; Pseudomonadati; Bacteroidota; Flavobacteriia; Flavobacteriales; Flavobacteriaceae. The record is from RNAcentral.